GAUGAAGAACGUAGUGAAAUGCGAUAAGUAAUGCGAAUUGCAGAAUUCCAGUGAGUCAUCGAAUCUUUGAACGCACAUUGCGCCCUUUGGUAUUCCGAAGGGCAUGCCUGUUCGAGCGUCAUUAUCACCACUCAAGCCCGGCUUGCUGUUGGUGGCAGCGCAGCCGGUCAACCGGCUACGCUCCACCCAAAGAUAAUGACGGCGUCUGCGAGGACUCCUGUACAUUGAGCUUUCGGGCACGUACAUGGCUAGAAGUCCAGGCGCCGGUCGACGUCCUCCGGGACACUUUUUACCAAGGUUGACCUCGGAUCAGGUAGGGAUACCCGCUGAACUUAAGCAUAUCAAUAAGCGGAGGA
This 356-nucleotide unclassified non-coding RNA is filed under the name soil metagenome. RNAcentral describes it as "partial contains 5.8S ribosomal RNA, internal transcribed spacer 2, and large subunit ribosomal RNA". The stretch from base 1 to 121 matches the Rfam family "5.8S ribosomal RNA", at positions 35 to 154 of the family's 154-position model. The record is from RNAcentral.